This is a non-coding RNA of Equus caballus (horse), 4304 nucleotides long. The record is from RefSeq and is a predicted model, not a curated record. Lineage: Eukaryota; Metazoa; Chordata; Mammalia; Perissodactyla; Equidae.
ACUGCCAGCACCUGGCAUGUGGGAGGGGGACACUAGCUGACUAACUGAAUGAAAUCUACAGGCGUAGUGCAUGGCACGUGGUGGGUGUUUGGUAGAUAUCCGUCCUCUCCUCCCUGCCCCCUGCUUGGGUCACUGGCGGAUUUUAGGAGAUGCCUUCAGCAUCCACUUAGGGUGGACAGAACCUGGGCUUUACAUCAAACACACCUAAGUUCCCAUCCAGGGUCUGCCUCUCCCAGCUGCUGGGUGACCUUGGCGCAUCACUUCACUUCGGGAGCCUCAGCUUCUACCUACGCUGCCGGGCUCUUCUGGGGGCUCAAUGAGAACACAGAUGUCAGGGGCCCCGCCCGGUGUCUGGCACAGGGAAGAUGCUCCAUGAAUCUGAGCUUCUUUCUUUAUUGUCUUUAGAGGAUCAGAGGGGCUAAGCGUGGCCAAUAAACAGCCUGCUGUCCUGGAGGACAGAAGCAAAGACUCUCCCUUCCAUUGUAGUUGCUGUGUUUCCAAAAAGUAGGCAAUUUGGGGGAAGUUAGGCUGCCCUAACUCACCCACCACAGGCCACUUCCCUGCUCCCGCUGUUUGCUCCCAGUUAACUGGCUGUGCCUUCUGGAAUUCACAGAAGACCAGAGUCCAGAGCCUUGGGGGUGCGCAUGCCCACACACCAGGAGGACCGAGCCCUGUCCUCAAGGAGAGAGCCCUCUGAGGAGCUCUGAGGAGCCAGCCUGUCACUUGGAGAGGUGACGGGAGGAAGAUCAGUGUCAAAAAUAAGACAGAGAAGUGGGUUUCAACUUGACUCACAUUAAGAAUGUCACUUUAGAGCACAAACGAAAGAGAAGAGAAAUGCUCUUUUAUGCAGGAGUUUAUUUUUGUCACUUUGUCAGAGAGAAAUUGCAGCCCUGAGGGCAUUGGAGCUGCACAGAAUUACCCAAAACAUUAACAUGCAAAUUGCCUUCUUUAGAGAAAGUAAUUUUAUUAGUGCACGAAAACGUUUCUUUCACUGUACUCAGGCUCAGGAGCAGUGUUGUCUGGGGGCCAGUUGGGGCCGCCGCAAAUGGAGAAUUAGGGAGAGUCCUAAACUUGGUUAGGAUUCUGUUACCUCCUCUCCUUGGGACCACGCAUGGAACACGCUUCUGGGGGUGUUACCAUGGUUACACGGUUACAGCUGGUUGCCAUGGGCACACUGAGUGUAGAGGGCAAGGGACUUGUUCAAGAUCAUGCAGCAUGAAUGGCAGAAGAAGAGGUGGAGCGUGAGGUCGCCUGACCUGUGUCCGUGAGCGACAGGGAACCACUGGGGGUCCUGGAAGUAGCCACUCGGAGAAUAAUGAGAUCCCAGUGGCAUUCUAGCCUUCUAUUCACUUAUUUAUUCACUCACUCACUCAUCCAUUCAAUAAGCUUUCGCUGUCCUAGGCCCUGGGGCCGAGAUAUGAAUCAGGCACUGGCAGCAGCACCCGCAGGGGGCGGGUGGAGAGGCAUACAGAUGUAUGCAACCACUGAUGAUCUAGCCAGGUCAGACCUACUGGAGACGAGUGCCAAGAACUGACAGACCACAGGCCAGAGUAUGGCUGACUGUUUGGCAGGGAGGCAAGGAGAGGGGCCUGGAAGCUUCACUAAGGAGGGUGUCACAUGUGGGCAUUGUCCAGGUAGUCAAGGUAGGGAAGGGCAUUGCAGGCAGGGAGAAAAGCAUGAGCAGAGGCACGGAAGGAAGCAUGUUGGCCUGGCCCAGACUAGCCUGUAUGGCUGCUGCACAGGGUGCGUGGGAAGAGGGGGGCUGAGGUUGCAGAGGAUGGAGAGGAGGCUGGCCAGGCCAGUCUCAAAGGCUGAAGAGCUCAGAUUUUACCCUGCAGGUGGCAAGCAGACCUGCAGGGCCUGUUCAGAACAGAACCACGUUCCGGAGACUUCACGAGGGAGGGGGUUUCCCAGGCCCUGGAGUGCCAAAAUGACAGAAGGUUGUAUGAGGCUGCGCUUACAUAAGACUUCUCCUCCCUUCACAGACUUGAUCAGCGGGGAAGUGUGGGCAGAGACACCCACCUGCUACCAAGAAGAAAGCACCUCAGUCAUGCAAGGUCUCGCUGAACAGUUCAGCUAGGUCAGCAGAACGGAGAGACCCCGGCAGAUCCCAGAAAGCGUCACCGGAGCCUGUACUGAGGACAGCCCCUGUGGAUUCCACUUACAGGGAGCAAUUUAAGAGGCAAACAAAACAUGAAAAGCUACUCAGAAUUAACAAUGGGCCAGAUGGUAAUGCUAGUUUGAAGCAAUAAAAUAUGAUAAAUAGCUUCCUGCUGCUACUCCUGAUCAAUUUCAAUAUUUAAUAAUUCCACUGCCACCCCCACCCCCUCCUCCGGCCCCCUCCACAGGGUCCUGCGAUGACUCCUGGCAUUCAACUCACAGAACAAACACUUCUUCGCUUUCUGAAGGCGUCAGCAAAAAGCACGCUGCUCAAUUGUCACAUGAGUGCUCUCGGUCCUGGAGAUGAUAAUUAAUCUGCCUACUUCUCCUGAAGACGCUCCAGCUCACGCCUCUCCUAGUUGCCAGGGAAGGCUGCGAGGGAGCUCCGACUGCAGAGAUGUGAUAGGAGUAUUGGUAUUCCUCGAGUUUUGCAUUCCCAUUAAAGGAAGGGGAGCCAUAGGGUGGUCAUCUUACUCCAGGACCAAUCAGGAGGAUAAAGCAACCCGGAAGGGCACAAUGGCAGCCUGGUGUUAGAGUCUUAUGCCCCGGCCAUGCCUCUGAGCCUCAGUUUCCUUCUCCAUACAGUGGAGAUCAUUGAGCCUACCUCCAGGAGAAUUAUAGCCAGUGCUGCACAUGCAAAGUGCCCGGCAGGAUGCUGGGCGUGCAGGAAAUGCCCAACAACUGGCAGCCGGCAGCAGCAAAUGACGCCUGAGCGCCCUGCCUGCAGGGACCUCCUGCUGGUCCCUGUGGUCAGGAAGCUGUAGCCCAGGGCAGAUCACAGGUGUGGGGCAGGAUCUGGCAAGGGCACCCUGCGGUCAGACAGACCAGACCACCCCAGGAUUCUCCCCACUCGGUGCCCAUUAAUAAGAUUAACCGCUUUGCACGGCCUGUGAGGGUUCCAAUGGCUUUCCUACCCACUGGCCCAGGAGACCUCAGGCACCCCUGGAGAGCAGGUAUUUUGGCAUCGUUCACCAGAGGCAAUGGAGAGGAGGUAAAAUGGCUUUUCAAGCUGACAUCGUAGGAAACGGCAGUCAAUUCUAGUUUGGAUCUCCCAACCCCCGACUUCAUGUCCUCUCCCCAAAUCACAGGAGAAGGCUGCUCCUCAAGGUGCCCCCUCCUCUGUGUGUCCCCUUCACAGGGAGGGACGCCUGGGGGCCAGGUCACCUGUGCUGCAGUUUACUCAUCUGUGAAAUGAGACUUGUAAUAUACCCACUACACUGGUUCACGGGCACAUUUAAUAAGGGAAUAUGCAUGAAAGUACUUUGUAAUUUUGUGAUGAGCUGUACAAAGGUCAGGUAUGGUUAUUAUGACUUUUUAGAAAAGCACCUUCUGUGAGGAAAAAGAUCAGAAACUCAUUCCCCCAAAGGUGGGUUCUUCUCACCAAAGCCUUCACUGGCCCCACAUUACCUAGAGGAUCAAGAUCAAACUCUUUCGUGUGGCAUUUGAGGCCUCGACACCCCAUCUCUGCCCCUUCUCCCUUCCCUUCCCGAGUCAGCCUAUCUAAGUUGCUUGGGGUUACCUGAGCCUUUCACAAGCCUAGCCCUGCCAGAGGGGUCUGUCCUGCCUUGUACACAGGCUUAUCCCACUCAUGCUUCUCCAAGAAGUGUUCCUGGGGCCUCCCUUGAUUAGGAGCUCCUCCUCUGGGGUCCCGGAUAACCUCUCUGUGCUUCUCUCCAUCCUAGCCUGCAUCACGGUACCCUAGUGACGGGUUUUUAUCUGCCUCCCAGAUCUACAGUGAGUUCCAUCCGAGCGAGAACCGAGUGCUACUCACUCUAGUCCAUCCAGGGCCUGGCCCGGCAUAUGCUCAGUCAGUAUGUGCUGAGGGGUGAAUGAAUAAACGAAUAACUAAGUAUUCCCAGGAGAAAUGGAAUCAGAGUCUUAAGCAAAGACAAUGGAUUCUAACGGCGGAAUUAGAAUGUGGUUGGGCACAGCCUUGGUAGCAGAAUUCAGGGUCGUGCUCUGAAUUCAAAUUCAGCUCAGCCUCUUGAGCCAUGUCUAGAGCUGGGCGUGGUGGAGGCCAGGCAUCGGGUACCUGAAUCACGCUGGUCCAGGGUCAUGGAGUUCCAUCUCCUUGUGAUGUCGAUGUAGAGGAUGUCCACAGCGGCCAUGGACAGGCUGCUGCUGCUGAGCUUGCAGUUCCUGCC